RNAcentral lists this unclassified non-coding RNA (232 nucleotides) under Hevea brasiliensis (rubber tree). The record is from RNAcentral. Lineage: Eukaryota; Viridiplantae; Streptophyta; Magnoliopsida; Malpighiales; Euphorbiaceae.
AAUCAAUUUUCUUUGCAAAUACAUGGAGCGAGAAACUGAAGGCUUCCACAGAACACGAUCAUUGAAAUUUAAACAUGAAUAACUUCAAAACGAUGAUUCGAGCACUAGAAAGGCAGCACGCCAAGACUACUGCUUUACUUCCAGUGCAGAUUUUAUGCGUUGCAUCAAUUGAGGAGCAUUGAGUGCGCCCUCAAAGCGAUCACAAACGUCUCCAUCCUUGAACAAUAUGAAG